UUUGGACUUCUAGAAUUGGGUUGAACACUGAACAGUGUCUGGGCUGCAGGACAGAUUCUGACUUCUCUUUUGUUGCUAUAAUUUGAACUUGAAAACGACCUUUUUGAAUCUUGGACUCUUCAUGAAAGGUUUAGGCCUAUUUCUUAGCUUUCCAUC
Populus trichocarpa (black cottonwood) is the source of this 156-nucleotide non-coding RNA. The record is from Rfam. Lineage: Eukaryota; Viridiplantae; Streptophyta; Magnoliopsida; Malpighiales; Salicaceae.